This 253-nucleotide ribosomal RNA is filed under the name uncultured bacterium. Its description in RNAcentral is "partial 16S ribosomal RNA". It matches the Rfam family "Bacterial small subunit ribosomal RNA", at positions 524 to 776 of the family's 1533-position model. The record is from RNAcentral.
UACGUAGGGUGCGAGCGUUGUCCGGAAUUACUGGGCGUAAAGAGCUCGUAGGUGGUUUGUCGCGUUGUUCGUGAAAACUCACAACUCAAUUGUGGGCGUGCGGGCGAUACGGGCAGACUGGAGUACUGCAGGGGAGACUGGAAUUCCUGGUGUAGCGGUGGAAUGCGCAGAUAUCAGGAGGAACACCGGUGGCGAAGGCGGGUCUCUGGAACGGUACUGACGCUGAGACGCGAAAGCGUGGGGAGCGAACAGG